GGAGGCCAAGGCAGAUACUGGGAAGAGCCAAGCUGGGAGCAGCUUGGGGACACGUGGAGGAGACACCACCACUCCAGUGCACACAGUAAGCACUGCCCCAUGCCCCUGCAGCCUCCCGGGGCCUGAGAGACCCCUUUCUGCCAGGGAUGGGGCUGGCUCAGGAAAGGGAGGAGGGGAGGGGGCAAUGCAGCCAUAGGAGAUGCCCUCCUCUUUGUCCUGCAGCUGCCCCAUGCCUGGGCACAGCAUGCCUCUCCCCAGCCCAGCCCAGCCCGGCACCCCCCUAAGUCCCCACCAGGACAGGCAGAUAGGUGUCAGAGUCAGCCCAUGCCUGUGCCAGUGCUGGAGCUGGCAGUUGCCCGGCCUCUGGGCUUACACAUCUGGUGCCUGGAGCUGCAGCGCCAGCUGGGCCUCCCCAGCCCGGAUGCCAAGUCACUGCCCAUCUGAUCCCCCCAGUGCCGCUCCGGUGCCCCCGUCCCACGUACGCUGAGAGACGCCGGCUCUGGAAGAGCAUCUCCUGCACCCCUCAGGAUUCCCGCGCAGCCCUGCGGGUCUCACACCUGCUGCCCGCCCUGCCUGAGGAGGCACCACGGUGGGAGGAGGCCGAGGCCGUGAAGACAGAGGAGCCUGGAUCCGACCCACGGGAUAAGGCCGCGCGGCCUCCGGGAUUGGACACCCAGGAGCCCUGUGUCUGCCUCCCCAAGCCCUUGCCCUGCCGGGCCCUGAGGCUCAUAAGCCUCCCUGAGGCUGCCCUGAGCCAGCCCGCGCCCCAUGCUGACACCAGUCUUUCCAGCAGGGGAGCCCGGAGACACAGCCUCCACUGGCCCGCGGGUCCCAGGGGAUAGCUCCGUGUGGGAAAGAGACUCCCUCAGCCGCCCAGGCCCAUCCCCGGGGGAAGCCUUGCAGCACGGCUGAGCCAGAGAAGGGCCCAGAGCACCGCCACCCCCCCCGAACCCCUGCAGGCCACUGGGGUGCACCAGCCUGCAAUGGAAGCUGCACCUCCUGGCCCCAGAGCCUCCGGGCAAGCAGGAUCCUGCAGACACCACCGUGUUGCCAGGGGAAGCCAGCACCAAGGUCCCAGACCCAUCUGAGGAUGUUUGUGCUUCCCAGGAGGCGUCGGAGCGGCACCUCAUGGGGAAGCAGCUGCAGGAGGUGACUGAGCCAGGCCCGGCCUCUUGCCAAAUGCCCUCAGGGGCAGAGACUGAUCCAGGAAAGAAGGACCUGUCCCACCCGUGGCGCACCACCAAUGGAAGUGCAACAAACAGCAUCAGAUGCCUCCUUCCCACCCCGGCGAGAGGCCGCCAUGGAGGAAGGGAGCGGUGGAGCCUGGAACAGCCCAGGAAAGGCACCCAGCUGCCCCCUGCCUGGCGCCCCAGAGGGCAGAGGGGGGCACCCAGCGGGCAGCCAUUGGCAGCUGGGAGCCGAGAGCUGCAUCAGGCUGGUGGGCAGGCGCCUGACCUCCCCUACGUCUGUGGCCUGGAGGGAAAGCCAGCCCGUGCGGUCUGGCCAGGAGACUCUGGGCAGCUUGGUGCCAGCUGCAGCCUGAAGGAGCUUCAGGGGCUGCUCCAGAAGAUCACAAGGGUCAUGGCAAGAAGCCCCAAGGCCUCAACAAGCUCCAUGGCUGGUGCAGGAAGGGGCCUCCAG
Long non-coding RNA from Alligator mississippiensis (American alligator), 1641 nucleotides. RefSeq lists it as uncharacterized. NCBI's taxonomy places the organism in Eukaryota, Metazoa, Chordata, Crocodylia, Alligatoridae. The record is from RefSeq and is a predicted model, not a curated record. The transcript is spliced from 2 exons.